Sphaeramia orbicularis (orbiculate cardinalfish) is the source of this 132-nucleotide long non-coding RNA. RefSeq lists it as uncharacterized. NCBI's taxonomy places the organism in Eukaryota, Metazoa, Chordata, Actinopteri, Kurtiformes, Apogonidae. The record is from RefSeq and is a predicted model, not a curated record. The transcript is spliced from 3 exons.
GUUUCCGACGUCCAACUCGGUCAAAUGCAUUGGAACGCCUGUCCAAGCCGGAGGUCCUUGUUGCAAAGUGGGGCCAGAUCGAAGUACCCCAGCCUCACUGUGAACUACAAUGUGACAUCAACACAAUAAUGG